AAGAGAAGCAAAAUAGUGAUAUCAAGCAAAUCUCAAAAAAUCGUUCUCAGUUCGGAUUGUAGUCUGCAACUCGACUACAUGAAGUCGGAAUCGCUAGUAAUCGUAGAUCAGCUACGCUACGGUGAAUACGUUCUCGGGUCUUGUACACACCGCCCGUCACACCAUGGGAGCUGGUAAUGCCCGAAGUCAGUUUGUUAACUUCGGAGACGACUG
RNAcentral lists this ribosomal RNA (213 nucleotides) under Mycoplasmopsis synoviae. RNAcentral describes it as "Mycoplasma synoviae partial 16S ribosomal RNA". It matches the Rfam family "Bacterial small subunit ribosomal RNA", at positions 1242 to 1455 of the family's 1533-position model. Lineage: Bacteria; Bacillati; Mycoplasmatota; Mycoplasmoidales; Metamycoplasmataceae. The record is from RNAcentral.